CUGAAUAUAGUUCAAUUUGGCAGAACGCUACGUUUGGGGCGUAGAGGUUGUAGGUUCAAAUCCUACUAUUCAGA
Molecule: transfer RNA, 74 nt
Filed under: Caudoviricetes sp.
Lineage: Duplodnaviria; Heunggongvirae; Uroviricota; Caudoviricetes
Description: tRNA-Pro
Rfam family: tRNA
About the family: Transfer RNA (tRNA) molecules are approximately 80 nucleotides in length. Their secondary structure includes four short double-helical elements and three loops (D, anti-codon, and T loops).
Source: RNAcentral